CGAGUUAGCGGGAUUGGUGCACCAGUGCAUGCUCCACUUGUUAUAUAACCUGUUUGUGUAAGUUCAUACUUGGCUCUGAGCCACUAUUGUCUUAGCAGGUACAACUGCCCUGCUAUUGCUGUACAGGAGCUGCUGGAGCCCAGAAAAAUAGAGAACCAGAGCUGCUCAUCUUGCAGAUGGACAGAGGAGAGCCAGGGCAUGGCCUGCCUGGACGUGGCAUGCACUCUGGUCCCCAGAGAGAGAGUAGCACUGUGUCUGGAAUUGGAGCAAAAAGGGAAUUCAGAGGACAUCCUAAUGAAAAAUGAAAAUGGAUCAUCACACAAGUAGCUUAUUAUGAGAUGUAAAACCCCAUGAAAAAUUAAUAUAAUAUUUCUCAAGCAGGUUUCCAUCUUGAGCAAAACUCCCUUGGAUCCUGACAAGAGCGGCCCUUGGUACUUUAGAAGAAUUUGAAUAUGAGCCUUGUACUUUAAAAGAUUUUGAAUAUCUUAGACACAC
RNAcentral lists this long non-coding RNA (495 nucleotides) under Homo sapiens (human). RNAcentral's name for it is "HSALNT0073132". Lineage: Eukaryota; Metazoa; Chordata; Mammalia; Primates; Hominidae. The record is from RNAcentral.